RNA transcript from Rosa chinensis, 1711 nucleotides. RefSeq lists it as uncharacterized. Lineage: Eukaryota; Viridiplantae; Streptophyta; Magnoliopsida; Rosales; Rosaceae. The transcript is spliced from 3 exons. The record is from RefSeq and is a predicted model, not a curated record.
CCACUCCAACUGAUCAAUGACUACUCUUGCUCUCCAAAGACCAAUAACACAGCCUUUGAUUAUGGAAUAUCCCUUCAUGCUCUCGAAUCGGGUGUCGUCUAUUCAGAUAAUUUUCUACAAAAGAUUUCUCUCUGCUUAUGGUGGGGACUGCAAAACAUAAGCUCCUUUGGUCAAAGUCUCAAAACAAAUACCUAUGUGUGGGAGAUCUACUUUUCAAUUGUCGUUUCAAUUUCUGGCUUGGUACUGUUUGCAUUAUUUAUUGGAAAUAUACAGACGUACUUGAAUUCGAAAGCUGAAAGAGUGAAGGAAAUGAAAUCGAACGGGCAAGAGAUUGAAUUGUGGAUGGACUUUCAUUCACUUCCUAAGUGGCUUAAGACUCGGUUCAGGAAGUAUCAGAAAUAUAGAUGGCAAGAAAGGUAUCAGCCAACUCCUCAGCAUGUAUAGAGGUAUCUCUUCAGCCAACUCCUCUCAUUUCCAUGAUUGCUUGCUCAAACAAAGGUAUCAGUUGAUCGUAUCAAAGAAUUCAUCAAAGAAGAUCAAUUGAAGCUAAUUCCUGGUCAUACUUCAAAAGAAUCCAACGUCAUGAUUGUAAUUGAGACUGGAGAAUAUGCAAGGAAAACAAGCGAUCAGAAGUUAAAGAAGCCUACAAUCAAAAUUGUGGAGAAGAUAGAGAUAAUGAAAGGAUACAAGGUAGCAAAUUGUGGUUCUGUUGGUUCGGGCAAGUCAAGCUUACUAAGUGGUAUACUUGGGGAGAUUCCCAAAAUUUCUGGGGUAGGAGCAAAGGUUUAUGGGACAAAAGCUUAUGUUCCACAAAGUUCUUGGAUUCAAACUGGAACUGUAAGGGAGAAUGUGUUGUUUGGCAAGGAGAUGAUUGAGGGUUAUUAUGAGAAUGUUUUGGAGGCUUGUGCUUUGGACCAGGAUGUCAAAAUGUGGGAAGAUGGAGAUUUGACUAUAGUGGGGGAGAGAGGGAUGAACCUUAGUGGGGGAGAAAAACAAAGCAAAACCUUUACAUCCUCUGCUUGCUCUGUCUCUCAAAUAUGUCUCAUUUUCAGUACACCAUCUCUUCUUCUCAGUGUAUCUAGGAAAACCCACGUCAAUAACACUACGAAAAACCCAACAUUGACAAUUUCCAGAGAGAUCUCCAUGAAAGUUGAGUCUAAAUUCCAAAGCUUUUCUCAGUCAGAUUAGUUCUGAACCAAUCUAGAAGUCUAGAACUGAACUCAAGCAAUGACGCCUGCAUAUAUAACACACACUUUUGGUGAGUACAAUGGCAGAACCGGUUCAGAUAAACUCAUAAAGACUGGAAGAAAACCCAACCAUUAGAACAUAGCAGUAAAAACACAAUCUUUCGGAUCAGAGAAGUAGAUUCAGAACAAAAACAGAUAGUGGCAAGCUGGGAUUUAAAGAAGCAAACCUGUUGAAGUAGGCACGUGGCUUAGUGAUGAAGAAGUAUCAAAGCUCGCUGCUUUACACCUAGUGGGUCUCUAAAAUCACUGAAACAGUGCUUUGCAUUCUUGCAAAGGAACUAGCAAAUCUUAGUACUCUGGUACGUGUUGGAAUCUUCGAUAUAUCUUUAAGGAAGAUCAACAAACAUGAAAAGGCAACUGAUCUCAAACACUGAUCUUUUGCCCUUCUCACGACUGUAUCUCUCUAUGAAAUGAGUUUCUGAUUUCUGAUGAUAGUGUGAGUGCAGGGAUCAGGUUAUAUAUAG